RNAcentral lists this ribosomal RNA (315 nucleotides) under uncultured bacterium. Its description in RNAcentral is "bacterial SSU rRNA". It matches the Rfam family "Bacterial small subunit ribosomal RNA", at positions 28 to 334 of the family's 1533-position model. The record is from RNAcentral.
GAUGAACGCUAGCGACAGGCUUAACACAUGCAAGUCGAGGGGCAGCGGGGAGGUAGCAAUACUUCCGCCGGCGACCGGCGCACGGGUGAGUAACACGUAUGGAACCUGCCCGUAGCAGGGGGAUAAGCGGAAGAAAUUCCGUCUAAUACCGCGUAAUAACUCCGAGAGGCAUCUCAUGGAGUUUAAAGGGUAACACCGGCUACGGAUGGCCAUGCGGCGCAUUAGCUAGUUGGCGGGGUAACGGCCCACCAAGGCGACGAUGCGUAGGGGUUCUGAGAGGAAGGUCCCCCACAUUGGAACUGAGACACGGUCCAA